AGAGUUUGAUCAUGGCUCAGAUUGAACGCUGGCGGCAGGCCUAACACAUGCAAGUCGAGCGGUAGCACAGAGAGCUUGCUCUCGGGUGACGAGCGGCGGACGGGUGAGUAAUGUCUGGGAAACUGCCUGAUGGAGGGGGAUAACUACUGGAAACGGUAGCUAAUACCGCAUAACGUCGCAAGACCAAAGUGGGGGACCUUCGGGCCUCAUGCCAUCAGAUGUGCCCAGAUGGGAUUAGCUAGUAGGUGGGGUAACGGCUCACCUAGGCGACGAUCCCUAGCUGGUCUGAGAGGAUGACCAGCCACACUGGAACUGAGACACGGUCCAGACUCCUACGGGAGGCAGCAGUGGGGAAUAUUGCACAAUGGGCGCAAGCCUGAUGCAGCCAUGCCGCGUGUGUGAAGAAGGCCUUCGGGUUGUAAAGCACUUUCAGCGGGGAGGAAGGCGNNNNNNCGAUUGACGUUACCCGCAGAAGAAGCACCGGCUAACUCCGUGCCAGCAGCCGCGGUAAUACGGAGGGUGCAAGCGUUAAUCGGAAUUACUGGGCGUAAAGCGCACGCAGGCGGUCUGUCAAGUCGGAUGUGAAAUCCCCGGGCUCAACCUGGGAACUGCAUUCGAAACUGGCAGGCUAGAGUCUUGUAGAGGGGGGUAGAAUUCCAGGUGUAGCGGUGAAAUGCGUAGAGAUCUGGAGGAAUACCGGUGGCGAAGGCGGCCCCCUGGACAAAGACUGACGCUCAGGUGCGAAAGCGUGGGGAGCAAACAGGAUUAGAUACCCUGGUAGUCCACGCCGUAAACGAUGUCGAUUUGGAGGUUGUGCCCUUGAGGCGUGGCUUCCGGAGCUAACGCGUUAAAUCGACCGCCUGGGGAGUACGGCCGCAAGGUUAAAACUCAAAUGAAUUGACGGGGGCCCGCACAAGCGGUGGAGCAUGUGGUUUAAUUCGAUGCAACGCGAAGAACCUUACCUGGUCUUGACAUCCACAGAACUUNUUGGUGCCUUCGGGAACUGUGAGACAGGUGCUGCAUGGCUGUCGUCAGCUCGUGUUGUGAAAUGUUGGGUUAAGUCCCGCAACGAGCGCAACCCUUAUCCUUUGUUGCCAGCGGUUAGGCCGGGAACUCAAAGGAGACUGCCAGUGAUAAACUGGAGGAAGGUGGGGAUGACGUCAAGUCAUCAUGGCCCUUACGACCAGGGCUACACACGUGCUACAAUGGCAUAUACAAAGAGAAGCGACCUCGCGAGAGCAAGCGGACCUCAUAAAGUAUGUCGUAGUCCGGAUUGGAGUCUGCAACUCGACUCCAUGAAGUCGGAAUCGCUAGUAAUCGUAGAUCAGAAUGCUACGGUGAAUACGUUCCCGGGCCUUGUACACACCGCCCGUCACACCAUGGGAGUGGGUUGCAAAAGAAGUAGGUAGCUUAACCUUCGGGAGGGCGCUUACCACUUUGUGAUUCAUGACUGGGGUGAAGUCGUAACAAGGUAACCGUAGGGGAACCUGCGGUUGGAUCACCU
RNAcentral lists this ribosomal RNA (1504 nucleotides) under Klebsiella pneumoniae. RNAcentral's name for it is "bacterial SSU rRNA". It matches the Rfam family "Bacterial small subunit ribosomal RNA". The record is from RNAcentral. Lineage: Bacteria; Pseudomonadati; Pseudomonadota; Gammaproteobacteria; Enterobacterales; Enterobacteriaceae.